Molecule: ribosomal RNA, 497 nt
Filed under: uncultured bacterium
Lineage: Bacteria
Description: partial 16S ribosomal RNA
Rfam family: Bacterial small subunit ribosomal RNA
Source: RNAcentral
GACGAACGCUGGCGGCGUGCCUAAUACAUGCAAGUAGAACGCUGAAGCGAGGAGCUUGCUCUUCUUGGAUGAGUUGCGAACGGGUGAGUAACGCGUAGGUAACCUGCCUUGUAGCGGGGGAUAACUAUUGGAAACGAUAGCUAAUACCGCAUAACAAUGGAUGACACAUGUCAUUUAUUUGAAAGGGGCAAUUGCUCCACUACAAGAUGGACCUGCGUUGUAUUAGCUAGUAGGUGAGGUAAUGGCUCACCUAGGCGACGAUACAUAGCCGACCUGAGAGGGUGAUCGGCCACACUGGGACUGAGACACGGCCCAGACUCCUACGGGAGGCAGCAGUAGGGAAUCUUCGGCAAUGGGGGCAACCCUGACCGAGCAACGCCGCGUGAGGGAAGAAGGGUGUCGGAUCGUAAAGCUCUGUUGUAAGUCAAGAACGGGUGUGAGAGUGGAAAGUUCACACUGUGACGGUAGCUUACCAGAAAGGGACGGCUAACUACGUG